UACAGAGGGUGCGAGCGUUAAUCGGAAUUACUGGGCGUAAAGCGUGCGUAGACGGUAGCGUAAGUCAGAUGUGAAAGCCCCGGGCUCAACCUGGGAACUGCAUUUGAGACUGCUCUGCUCGGGUGCGGAAGAGGGAAGCGGAAUUUCCGGUGUAGCGGUGAAAUGCGUAGAUAUCGGAAGGAACACCAGUGGCGAAGGCGGCUCACUGGCCCGAUACUGACGCUGAGGCACGAAAGCGUGGGGAGCAAACAGG
This 253-nucleotide ribosomal RNA is filed under the name uncultured bacterium. RNAcentral's name for it is "partial 16S ribosomal RNA". It matches the Rfam family "Bacterial small subunit ribosomal RNA", at positions 524 to 776 of the family's 1533-position model. The record is from RNAcentral.